UGUGAAUUAGUUUUGUUUCAGCCCUUCUGAGGGGAUUUGAGCACUUUUUUUGGCCUAGAUUUUUUUAAGUUUUCUUCAUCUUUUAAAGUUUUAGUCUGCCAGUUUGUGAGGGGAUUGAGCCUGAAUUUCAGCCCUCAAAGAGAUAAAAAGAAUCAAAAUAACAAUAAUUUAUUAUUUUUAUCAAUUUCAGUGAUCAGAUUCGUGAAUUAGUUUUAUUUCAGCCCUUCUGAGGGGAUUUGGGCUUGGCCUGGAUUUUUAAAAUUUCCUGUGUGUUUUAAGGUGAAUUCUCCCAGUUUGUGAGGGGAAUGUGCCUGAAUCUCAGCCCUUGAAGAGGUAAAAAUAUUAAAAAUAGCAAUAAAUUAUUUUUUUUACCAAUUUCAGUGAUCAGAAUUGUGAAUUAGUUUUGGUUUAGCCCUUCUGAGAGGAUUGUGCUGCUUCAGCCACAGGCCAGGAAAAUGAUUUCUAUUUUCAAAGGAGAAAACAAAUGGAGCUCACAGGAAUAGAAUUCCUGAAUCUUCCCUCUCCCAGCUGUUAUCUCUUCAUUUUUCCAGGAAAAUUGUGCCAAUCCCUUCCCCUCAUCCCCUCCACUCCUGGAAACCGGGAAGAGAUGGGCAAAUAAAAGGGGAAUUUCUCCCAUUUUCCUCCUCUAUCAGGAAUUCUCUCCGCAGGAAAUAAAUAAUAAACCCAACCAAGCAGAGCCUUGGAGCCCCUGGAUUUUCCUCGCCGGGAGCUGAAGUUAAAAAUUAUUCAAAGGAGAAAUUCCUGGCCUGUGAAGCGGAGGCUCCGACUGUACCAGGCAAAGAUUUCCACCAGCAUUCCCUCUCUCGGCCAAGGCCGAGAUAACAGAGCAGGAAGAAAUCCCCACUUCCCAGAUUCCAUCGGCAGCUCCCAUUCCCACCUCGUUUUUCCUCGUUUUUCUCCUUUUGGGAUGAGGAUUUGGCCUCUUCUCCUUGGAAUUUGCCGGAGUUUAAAGGACAAAGAGGACAGGGCACCACAAGUCCACCUCUGGUUUUGCCACCGGUCGCUCGGAGCCGAUUUCCCCGCGAAAUCCUCGCGCUCCAAGGUCGCCUUUUCCAGGACGCGGAAGAGGAAAACUCUCCUGGCUCCUCAUCCUUCCAAGCUUUUCCUUCCCCACCUGGAGGCUGAUCUGGCUUUGGGAGAAGCUCCUUGUGCUUCCAGCACUGAAGUUUUUCCCUGGGUUUCGUGCUGGUCCUGGUAAGAUCCAAAGUAUCCAGGUACAGCGGGCAAAAGGGAUUUACGGAGCGCAAAAACAACUCCUCGAAGGCUUUCCCUGCUUUCCCAUAGAUAUUCCCUCUCUUCGCUUCACUUUCUCCGGGAUUUAACCCUCAUUUCUCUUCCUCCUUCUCCCCCCAGGUGGAUCCGAGAGGGUUUUGUUGGACAGAUCAGGUUUUGUGUGCUCUGAGUGCUGGGGGAGGGGAGGGCAGCGCAUGAAUCCAAACGUUCAUUUUACAACCAGUCAAACCAGUCAGGGCAGCUCCAAGCACAUCCAAGGGCUCGGGAAAGGAGGGAGUCGAAGGGGGAAAAGCUGCUCUCACCCAGGUGUCACAGAAAGCUGGGAAAGAAAAAGGAGGGUUUGGAAAAUCGGCUUAAAAUUUGAUUAAAAUCCAAAUAAAAUCGACACAAAACAAGCGUGAAAUUGGAAG
RNAcentral lists this long non-coding RNA (1664 nucleotides) under Cyanistes caeruleus (blue tit). Its description in RNAcentral is "lncRNA (ENSCCEG00000019785.1)". Lineage: Eukaryota; Metazoa; Chordata; Aves; Passeriformes; Paridae. The record is from RNAcentral.